CUCUUUCUAAUAUUUAUAAUUCUUAUCUUUUUUCGCUCUAGUCCGGCAGGCUCUACACAUGUUGCUUUAAGGAAACAAUAAUAUAAUCUCACUUCGACUACUUAACAGAUUUGGUACCAUCCUUGUGAAUCUGCUCUCCGGAAUGCAAACUUCUCCAAGACAUGUUCCUGAGAUAAUAAUUGGAAAAGAUGUUACGGACUUGAUGGAUCCAAAUCUGAAGGGAGAUUUCUCUAAAGAAGAAGCUACCGUAAUCUCAAAAGUCGCCUCUGAAUGUUGCAACGCUUGAAGCUUUACAAGCUAAAACACAAGUUCCAGCUGCUGAAAUGGUUGAACUGGGAAAGCAGCAAGAUGUAGCAUCUUCCGGUCAACAACAAGAAGCUGAACCCUUGCAAGAAGUUCCAUCUUCUGAGACAAUAAAGCAGCAGAAGGAAGCAUCAUCUUCGAGUCAACAGCAACAAACUUGAACAAUGAAUCUUCUGAUAUCAUAAAAACUUUGUAACUCUUCUCAGAUUUGUAGCUUUGUUGGUUUUAGAUUGACGGUGUUUUGUGUAUUUUCUAACAACUUCAAACAUGUUUAUCUUGUUGCAUGCAAAAAUCAUGCAUAGUACAUCGAUAUUUUUGGGUCACAUAUACUCACACGAUGAA
Molecule: long non-coding RNA, 645 nt
Organism: Camelina sativa (false flax)
Lineage: Eukaryota; Viridiplantae; Streptophyta; Magnoliopsida; Brassicales; Brassicaceae
Source: RefSeq, a predicted model, not a curated record